This 327-nucleotide ribosomal RNA is filed under the name Digitipes sp. B JJ-2012. Its description in RNAcentral is "eukaryotic LSU rRNA". It matches the Rfam family "Eukaryotic large subunit ribosomal RNA", at positions 702 to 956 of the family's 3401-position model. The record is from RNAcentral. Lineage: Eukaryota; Metazoa; Arthropoda; Chilopoda; Scolopendromorpha; Scolopendridae.
CGAAACCCUAAGGCGCAAUGAAAGUGAAGGUCAGGCAUCGCACUGACUGAGGCAGGAUCCGUCCGGGUGAGCGAAGCUCUUCUUCUCUUCGCGGGUUCGUCCCGCGGGGGAGCUCGGCGGCGCACUGCCAGCCCAUCUCGGCCGCUUCCCGUCGGCGAGGUGGAGCUAGAGCGCACACGUUGGGACCCGAAAGAUGGUGAACUAUGCUCGGGCAGGACGAAGCCAGAGGAAACUCUGGUGGAGGUCCGUAGCGAUUCUGACGUGCAAAUCGAUCGUCGGACCCGAGUAUAGGGGCGAAAGACUAAUCGAACCGUCUAGUAGCUGGUU